Molecule: ribosomal RNA, 492 nt
Filed under: uncultured bacterium
Lineage: Bacteria
Description: partial 16S ribosomal RNA
Rfam family: Bacterial small subunit ribosomal RNA
Source: RNAcentral
AGUGAACGCUGGCGGCAGGCCUAACACAUGCAAGUCGAACGGUAGCACAGUAAGAGCUUGCUCUUACGGGUGGCGAGUGGCGGACGGGUGAGGAAUACAUCGGAAUCUACUUUUUCGUGGGGGAUAACGUAGGGAAACUUACGCUAAUACCGCAUACGACCUAUGGGUGAAAGCAGGGGAUUUUCGGACCUUGCGCGAUUGAAUGAGCCGAUGUCGGAUUAGCUAGUUGGCGGGGUAAAGGCACACCAAGGCGACGAUCUGUAGCUGGUCUGAGAGGAUGAUCAGCCACACUGGAACUGAGACACGGUCCAGACUACUACGGGAGGCAGCAGUGGGGAAUAUUGGACAAUGGGCGCAAGCCUGAUCCAGCCAUGCCGCGUGGGUGAAGAAGGCCUUCGGGUUGUAAAGCCCUUUUGUUGGGAAAGAAAAGCAGCAGGUUAAUACCCCGCUGUUCUGACGGUACCCAAAGAAUAAGCACCGGCUAACUUCGUG